Molecule: ribosomal RNA, 444 nt
Filed under: Cladosporium cladosporioides
Lineage: Eukaryota; Fungi; Ascomycota; Dothideomycetes; Cladosporiales; Cladosporiaceae
Description: eukaryotic LSU rRNA
Rfam family: 5.8S ribosomal RNA (bases 98-251)
Source: RNAcentral
CCUCCGGGGCGACCCUGCCUUCGGGCGGGGGCUCCGGGUGGACACUUCAAACUCUUGCGUAACUUUGCAGUCUGAGUAAACUUAAUUAAUAAAUUAAAACUUUUAACAACGGAUCUCUUGGUUCUGGCAUCGAUGAAGAACGCAGCGAAAUGCGAUAAGUAAUGUGAAUUGCAGAAUUCAGUGAAUCAUCGAAUCUUUGAACGCACAUUGCGCCCCCUGGUAUUCCGGGGGGCAUGCCUGUUCGAGCGUCAUUUCACCACUCAAGCCUCGCUUGGUAUUGGGCAACGCGGUCCGCCGCGUGCCUCAAAUCGUCCGGCUGGGUCUUCUGUCCCCUAAGCGUUGUGGAAACUAUUCGCUAAAGGGUGUUCGGGAGGCUACGCCGUAAAACAACCCCAUUUCUAAGGUUGACCUCGGAUCAGGUAGGGAUACCCGCUGAACUUAAGC